This 254-nucleotide ribosomal RNA is filed under the name uncultured bacterium. RNAcentral's name for it is "partial 16S ribosomal RNA". It matches the Rfam family "Bacterial small subunit ribosomal RNA", at positions 524 to 776 of the family's 1533-position model. The record is from RNAcentral.
UACGGAGGGGGCUAGCGUUGUUCGGAAUUACUGGGCGUAAAGGGCGCGUAGGCGGCGCGAUAAGUUGGGCGUGAAAGGCCCGGGCUCAACCCGGGGACUGCGCUUGAUACUGUCGCGCUGUGAGUCCGGGAGAGGAUGGCGGAAUUCCCAGUGUAGAGGUGAAAUUCGUAGAUAUUCGCAAGAACACCAGUGGCGAAGGCGGCUCACUGGUCCGGUACUGACGCUGAGGUGCGAAAGCGUGGGGAGCAAACAGG